CGUACCAUGAAAGUAGAGGGUGAAGAAAAGAAAAAUCAAUGAAAGAGAUGUGAAACACAGAAAAUUAUUAACCCUUCCAAUCAAUAUUUGUCUUGGAAAAUAAGAUUAUCAACAAGAGAAAUUUCUAAUCCGAAUACCAACAUGUACGAAAAUUAAGGUCGAUUUAUCCUCUGAGCAGUCACUCAAGAAACGAUGGUUGAACAGGGUUGUAAAUGUGAAGUCAACUGGAAUAUCAAGAUCUAUAACAACAUAAUUAAUCUAAAUAACCUCACCCACAAAGGUGAAUAGAGGCAGAACUCAUCCGAUAUAGUUGAUGUCUCAAAGCUGCUAAUACUGCCUGAGAUAUUUGUGCUGCCUACAGAGAAGUUGCAAUUACUGAACCAACUGCAUAGAAAUGGUUUUCAUGCUUCAAGGAGAGAAAAUUCAACCUCACAGACCAAUCAAUUCAGUUCAAUCAGGAUCUUUUGAAAUAUCUCGUUAAUGAGUAUCCGUACCUAUCCACUUGGGAAUUGGCCAAGCAGAUGGGAUGCUCACACAGUACUAUCAUCUGUCACUUUCACUCAAUGGGUAAAGUCCCAAAACUUGGUGUAUGUGUGUACACGUUCUGAAUGAAAGAGACAACUCCAGUGAUCUUCUAUCACCAUCAGUUUGCUUACCUGACACCAGGUUAUUGAUAGACACAGAUAGACACAAGCCUUUACCGAUGAUGAGACAUGGUGUCUUUAUGUCAAUAUG
Octopus bimaculoides (California two-spot octopus) is the source of this 735-nucleotide long non-coding RNA. RefSeq lists it as uncharacterized. The record is from RefSeq and is a predicted model, not a curated record. Lineage: Eukaryota; Metazoa; Mollusca; Cephalopoda; Octopoda; Octopodidae.